AACAAAAGUAUUUUUAACAAGUACGUUUUGCGGCUAAAGAGCAACUAAAACAAGUAUUUUUUCCUUAUCUUGCUAUAUUGCUAUUUUUUCAAUUUUGAAUUACUGUAAAUCAUUGUAUCUUGGCAUUAUCCCACCUUUCUUAUAAAGGGAAGGGUGCAACAAUGACAAUAGCAUAUAUACAGGUACAGUAUUACAAAAUAAAAGAACAUCGCCAUAAUAACGUAACCUUACACUCGGAACGGGAAUAUAGUUUUGCAGGGAAAUUUCUGAAAAAGUACAAUAAUAAAAAGACCACGUGUUUCUGUAGAGUAAGGGUCUGCUGUUUUUUUCUGUGACACACGCCAUACAAAUCUAGUCAUUACAAACCUACGUUGUCGUUGAUGAAGAAGACGUUUGUCCAUUUGGACCACAAUUCAUGAUUUAGCGGAAUUCUUCGUCCAAAGAGGUCUUCACGUUAAAUCAUAUUUUGAUAUAUAUUUUGCGGUUUUUUUUUCACGAGUCGGUUGUGUCUUAUUUCAAUUUAUAUCUCAUUAUGUUAUAUUAACCUGGUGAUUUUCACAGUGUGUAUUGUAUUGUUUACCUGGCUUUUAUGUAUUACAUCUUAAUAUUGAUGAAUGGUAUGGAAUUAAAGAAAUAUGUUCAUA
Long non-coding RNA from Pecten maximus, 644 nucleotides. RefSeq lists it as uncharacterized. Lineage: Eukaryota; Metazoa; Mollusca; Bivalvia; Pectinida; Pectinidae. The transcript has 2 exons. The record is from RefSeq and is a predicted model, not a curated record.